Non-coding RNA from Callithrix jacchus (white-tufted-ear marmoset), 10513 nucleotides. The record is from RefSeq and is a predicted model, not a curated record. NCBI's taxonomy places the organism in Eukaryota, Metazoa, Chordata, Mammalia, Primates, Cebidae.
CAUCCCCGCAGGUGUCGGCGCCGUGCUCCUUCCCUGGCCCUUUGUGUCGCCCUAAUGCGCUUGCGCACUCGCAGUUUCCGGCAGAUCCGGAAGUGGAUCUCGCGGGCCGACUGGCACGCUCGGGUAAAGCCCUCACUCGGGAUGGCUACACACCCUUCGCCCCCCUCCAGGGAGAGCAGAGGGAAAGCAGAAACGGAGGAGAAAGAGGAAGAAAUGCGGGGAAUUAGCAAUCAGAAAGAAGAGCAAGGACUGGAAAAAAGGAUGUUACCAGGUUGGGGCCAAACACGCUGUCAGAAAAGGAGUAGAGAGGAAGGGAAGGAAAAUAAGCAGAAAUGGACAGGAAAUCUCAGAAGUGGGAAAAACAGGAGGAAAGAAACAGAAGGUGGGAGAGAGACGUUUACAGAAAGAAGAUAAUGAAAACUGCGAAACGAGGGUGUGAAGCUUCUGACUUUUCUAAUUAUGACAUCAGAAGCAACCCUUAUUCAGCCGGAGGGUUAACUGACCCUCAGUUAAUUCCAGCUCACCCUCUUCCCUUUCUCUGAUCUUGAAAGAGGAGAGUCAAGACUGAUCUCUUACCUGAGAAAGAAACCCAGAGGAAGAAGAAAGAAAGAAGAGAAAGGAAUGAUUGUUUCUCAGGUAAAAAGUAUAUUCAUGGUUGAUUGUUCUGUCCUCUCCUUCCUGAAAUGCCAUCUUUUGGACUUGCUAAUUUUCUCUGACUCUGAAGUGUCCUGCCUAACAUGUAUAUUCUCACCCAGGGCUUUCCCUCAGUUCCAUCUCCACAUAGAUUCCAUCUCACUGUGACCCAGUAACAUUAGAACUUUGGAAAAGGCUCCACUUACAUGAUUGUUCUGGAAAGGGUUUUAUACCCAGGUAUGGAUUGGAUAUGGGGAGCAGGCCCCAUGGUGUCAGCGAGGUUGGGUGGGAGUGACUGUUCAGAGACUUCAUUUGGAUGCCAUUUCAGCUCUUUAUAAACCAGGAGUAAGGGAACUGCAUAAGUGAUACAUUAAUGCGCACAAAUACCUGGAAAGCUUUGGAAAAGAAGACCUCUGGGGGGAACUUUGGUUGAGUUGAUAAUACAUUUGAAGCUAAACAAUUGAAUUGGUGUGUUUUUAGCUCUAAAAUAAUAAUUUGGAAUAGAAUGGGAGGUUCAGAAACAGACAUUGGGGGUGGAGAAGGUAGUCUUUUUUUAUCAUUGGUUUUAAAAUAUGGAAUCAACCUAAUUGUGUAACAGCAGGCGGUUCUUUAAAUUCUUCACAGUGCGUAUAUGUCAUGAAGACCCUGCUGUUCAUUUAGGAAUUCUUUUGCAGCAGAUGUUUAGAUAAAAAUGUGUGUAAUAGUUUGUUUUUUCAUUUAAGUUCAGGGUUAGGUUUGUUAUAUAGCUAAACUUGUGUUGUGGGGCUUUGUUGGAUAGAUUAUUUCAUCAUCCAGGUGUUAAACCUACUACCCGUUAGUUAUUUUGCCUGAUCCUCUCCCUCUACCCACCCUCCACCUUCUGGUAGGCCCCACUGUGUGUUGUUUCCCUUCAUGGGUUCAUGGGUUCUUAUCAUUUAGCUCCCACUUGUGAGAACAUGCAGUAUUUAGUUUUCUGUUCCUGUGUUAGUUCGCUAAAGAUAAUGGGCUCCAGCUCCAUCCAUGUUCCUGCAAAGGACAUGAUCUCAUUUUUUUUUAAAUGGUUACACAGUAUUCCAUGGUGUAUAUGUACCACAUUUUCUCUAUCCAGUCCACUGUUGAUGGGCAUUUAGGUUGAUUCUAUGUCUCUGCUAUUGUGAAUAGUGCUACAGUGAACAUAUGCACGUAUGUGUGUAUUCAUGCAUGUGUGAUGGGAUUGCUGAGUCGAAUGGGAGUUCUGUUUUUAGAUCUUUGAGGAAUCGCCACCUGGUCUUCCACAAAAGUUGAACUAAUGUACAUUUCCACCAACAGUGUGUAAGUGUUCCUUUUUCUCCAUAACCUCACCAGCAUCCGUUUUAUUGUUUUUGACUUUUUGAUAAUAGCCAAAAGGUUCUGGGCACAGUGGCUCAUGCCUGUAAUCCCAACACUUUGGGAGACUGAGGUGGGCAGAUCACCUGAGGUCAGAAGUUCCAGACCAGCCUGACCAACGUGGUGAAACCUUGUCUCUACUAAAAAUAUGAAAUUAGCUGGGCAUGGUGGCACAUGCCCAUAAUCCCAGCUACUUGGGAGGCUGAGGCAGGACAAUUGCUUUAACCUGGGAGGUGGAGGUUGCAGUGAGCCAAGAUUGCGCCAUUGCAUUCCAGCCUGGGCAAUGAGAAAAACUCUGUCUCAAAAAAUAAUCAUAAUAAUUUUAAAAUAAUAGCCAAAAGAUGGCUAUAAUGUAGCUAAGACUUAUGAGCAGCACUUUCUGUCAUCAGAGAGGUAGGAGCCAAAUUCUGAUUACUUGUUGUUAAAUAUUACAUUUCUUUUGUAUUAAACAUCACAUGAUAUAUAUUUUUUAUCGAUAAAAUGUCACACAAUGAUGCUUAGGGACUAAGAAGUAAAACCACGUUGUCCACCAUCACUCACUGUCUCCACCAGGAACUACUGAUCAUUCUUCUCAAUGGAAGUCUUAUAAAAAUGCAUUUAUAUAUCAUAAUUUACUUUUAGAAAAUGUUAAGUGAAUAUUUUGUUGUGAUAUUUUGUUUUGCAAAUUUAUAUAUUUGUAUGCUGUAUGUCUUUAUUUUGUUUUUAUGCUGGUAAAUAGGGAUAACUUGAGUUUUUCCUUUCUCAUUGGAACAUUCCCUUACUGAAGACAUAUCAGCUUUACAGCUUUUCUCUGUGAUAAAGAACCUGCCUUGGCUGCCUCUGAGCAGGCCAACUGUACUACAGCUGUGUGAGGAUUCCUCCAGGUUGGGCACCUUGAAGCAUGGUACCUGGCUUAAUAAUGAUGUUUCUGAGGAAGCUGAGACAUUGCACUUACUAAAAGAUACUUUCAAUGAACUAUCUUAACCAUGCCCAGAGAGCUGAAGUAAAUGGUGGACAAAGAACUAAAGGAAAGUAGGACAACAGUGUUUCAAGGAAUUAUCAGUAAAUACAUGGAAAUUAUUAAAAAGAAGUGAAAUAGAAGUUUUGGAGCUGAAAAGUAUAACAUGAAAAUUUUAUGAAGUUUCAAGAGCAGAUUGACAAUACAGAAUCAGCUAACUUAAACUUUAGGUUAAUUGAAAUUAUUUAAUCUGAGCAGAAGAAAGUGAAAAGAAAUGAAAUGUAAGAAAGCUUUGGGACACCAUGAAGCAUAUGAAUGUAUGCUUAAUAAGAAUUUCAGAAGAAAAAGCAAAAGCAAAAAGCAGAAAGAAUAUAUGAAGAAAUAAGACCUGAAACCUCCCAAGUGUGUAAAGAACAUGAAUCUCUCUACCCAGGAAGCUCGGUGAACUUUAAUUGUGAUAAACUCAUAGAGAUCCACAGCAAAACACAUAAUCAAACUGUGGAAGGAAAAGAUCACCGUGAUAGUAGCAAAAUAGAAAUGAUUUGUCAUGUACAGUGAUCCUCAAAAAGAUUAACAGCAAUUUCUCAGCAGAAACUAUGGAGGCCAGAAAUUAGUGGAUGACAUACUCAAAGUUUGAAAGAACUGUCCAGCAGGGAUUCAGUAUCAGGCAAGUGAUCCUUCAGAAUUGACCAUGAAGUUGAGGUCCCCAGAUAACAAGAGCUGAGGAGUUUGCCUAAGUGGACUUACCCUGCAUGAAAUGUUGAACAAAGUCUUUUAGGCUGAAAUAAAAGGACACCAGCAGUACUUUAAAGCCAUAAGAAUAAAUUCAUAGAGGUAAAAUACCUACAUAGGUAAAUAUAAAAGCCAAUAUUAUUGGUUUUUUAAAAACUUUUUUUGUAUAUGAUUUAGAAGACAUAUGGGAAACAGUAAUUGUCAGUGUGUUCCAAUCUGGCUAUAAAAUGCAUAGAGAGGUAAUUUUUGGCAUUAUGAAGAGAGCCAGCCAGAGCUAUAUAGAAACAGAAGUUGUUACGCAAUUGAAGCUAACUUAGCAUCAAUUGAAACUUAAUUAUUAUCUUCUGAUGUAAGUUUUAAUCGCCAGGGCAACCAUUAAAAUAACAAAACUAUAAAGAAGGGAACCAAAGUGGUAUACACAAACUCAUACAUAUACAAAGAAGGAAGAGAAGAAUUACAAAGCAAAAAAGGUAAGACAUCUAAAAAAUAAGUAGCAAAAUGGUAAAAGUAAUUCUGUUACCAGUAGUUACUUUAAAUGUAAGUGGAUUAAUUUCUCAUUAAAAGGCACUUAUUGGGAGAAUACAUAAUUUUAAAACUAUGAUUUCACUAUAUGAUGUGUGUAAAAGACUCCCUUUAGAGCCAAAGACACAGAUAGGCUGAAAAAUAAAAGGAUGUAAAAAGGCAUUUCAUUGCAGAUAUUAAGCCUGGCUGGAUCACUAUACAGAUAGCAGACAGAUAGGCUUUUCCAUCAAUAAUUGAUAACAGAGAUGUUGAAAGACAGUAUAUAUUGGGGUUAAUCCACCAAGAACAUGUAACAACUAUAAAAAAAUAUGGAUCAAAUAUCAAAGCCUCAAGUAAUUUGGAGCAAAAAUUACAAGGAGAUAGAUAGUUCUAUAACAUAAUUCAGUGCUCUCUUUUUAUUAAUGGAUAGAACAACCAAGCAGAAGAUUAGUAAGGAAAUGAAGAGUUUGAGCAACACUUUACACCAAGCUUGUCUAACCCAUGGACCACGGACUGCAUGUGGCUCAGGAUGCCUUUGAAUGUGGCCCAAUAUAAAUUUGUAAACUUUCUUAAAACAUUAUGAGUUUUUUUUUUAAAGCUCAUCAGCUGUCAUUAGUGUUAGUGUAUUUUAUGUGUGGCCCAAGGCAAUUCUUCUUCUUCCAGUGUGGCCCAGGGAAGCCAAAAGAUUGGACACCGCUGCUGUAAACUGACCACACUGAGCAGGCACAGAGAACUGCACUCAGCAAAAGCAGAGUGUGCACUCCUCUCAAGAGCACAUAGAAUGUUCUCCAGGUUAGACCACAUGUCAGGCCACAGAACAAGUCCCAGUGCAUUUUUAAAAGGUAGAACCCAUAAAACCGUGUUCUCAAACCAUCAUCGAGUGAAAUUAGAACAUCAGUAACAAAACGAAAACUGAAAAAUUCAGUUGUUUUUUUUUUUUUUGAGACGGAGUUUCACUCUUGUUACCCAGGCUGGAGUGCAAUGGCGCGAUCUCGGCUCACCACAACCUCUGCCUCCUGGGUUCAGGCAAUUCUCCUGCCUCGGCCUCCUCAGUGGCUGGGAUUACAGGCACGCACCACCAUGCCCAGCUAAUUUUUUGUAUUUUUCGUAGAGACGGGGUUUCACCAUGUUGACUGGGAUGGUCUCGAUCUCUUGACCUCGUGAUCCACCCGCCUCGGCCUCCCAAAAUGCUGGGAUUAUAGGCAUGAGCCACUGCACCUGGCUGCCCAGCUAAUUUUUAUAUUUUUAGUAGAGACAGGGUUUCACCAUGUUGACCAGGAUGGUCCCAAUCUCUUGACCUUGUGAUCCACCCACCUCGGCUGUCCAAAGUGCUGGGAUUAUAGGCGUGAGCCACCGCGCCUGGCUGAAAAAUUUAGUUUUAAAUGAAUAUUAAUUACCUUGUUGAUGUAUGAUUAACAUAAAAAAGCUAUAUAUGUGAUGUAUACAAUUUAAUGAGUUUGGAGAUAAGUAUACGCCUCUGUCAUAAACAUAUCCAUUGCCUCAGAAAGUUUCUUCCUGCCCUCUUGGUUAUUUAAUAAUUUUGUAAGAACACAACAUAAGAACUACUGUCUUAACAAAUUUUUAAGUGCACAAUACGGAAUUAACUAUAAGCACUGUGUUGUUCAGUAGAUCUCCAGGACUUUUUAAUCUUUAGUAACUGAAACUGAUUACUACCUCACCAUUUCCCCACCCUCAGCACCUAGCAACCGCCAUUCUAUUCUCUGUUCCUAUGAGUUUUAUUGUUUUCAGUUGCUCGUAUAAGUGGAAUCAUGUAUUUGUUCUCUGUGUGGCCUAUUUCACUUAUACUCCAGUUUCAUUUAGGUUAGCUCUUACAAAUAGCAGGAUUUCCUUCUUUUUUAAGGCUGAAUAAUAUUCAUGGGUGUGUGUGCAUGUGUGCGUGUACCACAUUUUCUUUAUCCUGUCAUUCCUCUAUGGACAUUUAGUCAUGACUUGGCUAUUAAGAAGAAAGCUGAAAUAAACAUGGGAGCACCUCUCUCUCGUCAAGAUCCUGAUUUUAAUUCUUUUGGAUUUAUACCCAGAAGUGGAAUUACUAGAUCACAGUCAUUUUUCUGCACAUCCUAGACAUUGCUUGUCCUUUUUUUUUUGAAUGGUCAUCCUAAUAGAUGUGAGAUUAAAAUCAUAUUGUUUAUUUGCACUUUCCUGGUGAUUAGUGAUACUGAGCACCUUUUCAUGUACCUAAUGGCCAUUUUUAUAUUUUCUUUGGGGGAAAAAUGACUGUUCAGCUCUCUUGUCCAUUUUUUUAUUGGGUUAUUAGAUUUUUGGCUCUUGAGUUGUAGGAGUUCUGUAUAUUUUUCGAAUAUUAACCUCUUCCCAAAUAUAUAGUUUGCAAAUAUUCUCCCAUUCUAUAAGUUGCCUUUUUGUUUUAUUGGUUGGUUCUUUUGGUUUGUACAAGUGUUUUGGUUUAAUGUAGUCCCACUAGUCUGUUUUUGCUUUUCUUUCCUGCACUUUUGGUGUGAUAUCCAAGAAGUCAUUGCCAAGAUAAUCUCAAGAACAUUUUCCCCUAUGUUUUCUUCUAGGAGUUUUACAAUUUCAGGUAAGACUGAAGACCCAAUUUACCUUGAGUCUUUAGUCAGUUUUGAGUUUAUUUUUAUUUAUGGCAUAAAAUAAGCAUCCAGUUUCAUUCUUUCCAUUUGGAGUACAGAUUUCCUGGCACUAUUUACUGAAGAGAGUAUCUUUUCUCCAUUGUGUAUUCUUGACACACUUGUCAAAGAUCAGUUGAUUGUAUAUGUGUGAGUUUAUUUCUGGGCUUUGUAUUCUAGUGCUUAUGUUUUGUAUGUCUGUUUUAUGCCAGUACCAUACUGUUUUGAUUACCAUAGCUUUGUAAUAUACUUUGAAAUCAAGAAAUGUGAUAGUACCAGCUUUGAUGUUCUUGCUCAAAAUUGCUUUGGCUCUUUGUAGUUCUAUAUGAAUUUUAGGAUUGUUUCUUAUGUUUUUGUAAAAGGUGCUACUGUGAUUUUGAUAGGGAUUGCAUUGAAUCUGUAGAUUGCUUCAGAUAAUAUGGACAUUUUCAUAAUAUUAAUUUUCUGAGUUCUUGAACAUAGAAUAUCUUUCCAUUUAUUUGUUUUGUCUACUUUAAUUUUCUUCAUUAGUAUUUUAUAGUUUGCAGCAUGCAAGUCAUUUACCUCUUGGUUAAAUUUAUUUCAUGUUAAAGUCACAUGGGGAGUAGCUGCUCCAAAACAUUUCUUUUGGAGUUGAUGAAAGUGUUUUUGAAGUAGACAGAGGUGGUGGCGUAUAGCUUUGUGAAUGUACUAAAUGCCACUGAAUUGUACUUUAAAAUGGCUCAUUUAUAUAUUUUAAAAUAUAUUUUAAAAUGAAGCCUUGCUCUGUCACCUAGACUGGGGUGCAGUGGCAUGAUCACUGCCUCCUGCAGUCUCCACCUCCCAGGUUCAAGUGAUCUCCCACCUCAGUCUCCUGAGAAGCUGGGACCACAGGCCCAUGCCACUGUGCCCAGCUAAUUUUUCAUUUUUUUUUUUGUAGAGAUGGAGUCUCACUUUGUUACCUACACUGGUCUCAAAUUCCUGGGCUCAAGCAGUCCUCUUGCCUCAGCCUACCAAUGUGCUGAAAUUACAAGUGAGAGCAACUGUACCCAGCCUGAAAUGACUAGUUUUAUGUUAUGUGAAUUUCAUCUCAGUUUAAAAAAAUAAAAUUAGGGAUAUGUAAGUUUCUUGCAUUAUCUCACACAAAUCAGUCACAACACUGUGGCCAAAUGAAUAUACCUCUCUUCUGUCAUUUUGUAUGAAAAUAAGAACCUUCCCUGUGUCUACUUGAAGUGCAUUUUUAUUUCAGAGACUGUUUACAUUCAGAUGUGACCAUAGAAUUCUCUCGAGGAGUGGGAGUGCCUGGACCCUGCCCAGAGGGCCUUGCACAGGGACGUGAUGUUGCAGAACUGCAGGAACCUCUGGAUGAGGAAAAUACCCCUCCAGAAAACCCUACCCACCCUCUUACACCUUUGCAUUUUCCCUUGUGAGGCUCUUGGGAGCCCCGAUUUGCUUGUCCGAAUCUGAUCCCUGUUCUAAAAGGGGAGAUGGAAACUGUUUUGAUUGAGAGUGGAAAGGCUUCCUAAUGUGGCAUGUAGACUUUCAACCUCCCCUUUCUCCGGAAUUCUGCCAUAGUCAGGUUUGAUGAGUGGUGGUUCCUGAACAUCAGGACUUAAAAACCUCAUGGAAACUUUGUGAAGUGGCUGGUGUCAUGGUUUUAGCCUUGUGCCUUUGAUUCAGUAGUUUUUCAGAGUCUGCAUAUUUAAAGUAACCCUUUUUCCAGACCCAUCGGUAAUGUCCUCUCUUCAUAGCUGAACAAAGGGCCGGGACUGUAUCCAGGAAAAGCUCGGCAUUCCAGGUUCCUUUCUUCUUAACAAGUUGAAAUCUUUCCUGAGCUGAAUAUUAUGUUCAUUUUGGAGAAAAGGAAUGAGUCCUGGACUGUGGAGAGUGAAGUGAAAAUGGGGAAAAAUUGGAUAGUCAGAAUGUGAGCACAAAUAAGCGCUCAGAUGGCCAAAAAUAAGCUACUCCAUUGAGUAUUGUUUAGAAAACUCUGCAAAUGGGAAACAUCAAUGGGGAAACAAAAGUUUAUUUCUUGUGAGCUGUCAAAGAAAAGUUCACACCCCUCCCAUUGUCCCCAGCACACUGUUAUUCAAAUGUGUGAAAGGUUGGACUACCACUCUCCGUGAUGCCCCAGCUCAUGCAGACACAGAAGCAAAGAUGCCAUCAUGGCCUGCAGUACUCUUAGUCCCUUGGUUUUGAGAAGGACCGAGGUGAUGGUUUUUAAGGACUCUCUUUUUGAAUAUUUAAUUUUGUUUUUAGUCUGUACAGAUCCAAACUGAGGCCUUUGUAGCCCUGGCUCCAGAACCGAUUCCAUUUUUAUUCCCAUUUCUUAACACCUGCAAGAACUCUUCAGGUAAAUGGGGAAAACAGUGGCUCCCCCAGAAUGUAUCUGGGGUUCUCUGAAAUUUUAAACACUUUCAGUCUCUCUACUUGUUCAGGCCUCUUGGCCAUUGCUUCCGUUCUGCUUUUGCCAUGUGUGUCUAAAGGGGAACAGGUAGACUUUGGGGAUUGCUACUCAGCAGUAAUGUAAGACUUGGCAGAUCCUCUUUUUGACUGCCAUUCCAAAACGGGAAUAUAUCUCAUUCUCUUCGGCUCUCAGCUUGCAGCCUGUGGACAGAACACACUGCCUCUUCUUAAGAAUCCUACAAAAUCCGACCUUUUUUUUUACCCUCAUAUCUUAUAUUGUCUCCCUUUUCUAGCUUUCUAACCUGUCCAGGAACUGAGAGAGACCUUGGUCUUCCUUAUUUCAUAUUCUUCUAAGAUUUGCCUCUGAAAGUGUCUUUUGAAGUACACAUUCCUAGAGUCUGAAAUUUCCUCCCUUUCUGCUGUGAUAACAACCCACCAGUAGGUGAUGGACAACUUUUGGCAGACUCUCACAUGGAAGAGGUUUUCUUGGUGACAGAAUAUUCUUGAAAGAGAACAUUGAUUAAUCUGUUAGAGUAUCAUCCUGCUACAUACAGAAGUGCCUCUUGAAGCCACUGAGUAGAGUAGCCAGCAUGCCCAUUAGGCUGGCAGAGAAUCAGGAGAGCCUGAGGAAUAACUGCUUCUGUCCUUCUGGGUUUUGUGGACUUUACAGUGUCUCCCAGGGGCAGUGUGACAAUGCUGAUUAGAUAUAUAAUGAUCGUCCCCUUGGAGUGGGCAGUACAAGGUGUAGGAUUAUCCUAGGGAGAAUGUUGUCCGUUCACAACCUUGUAUCUGAAAAUGUCGACCAAACUGUUACUCAUACCACAUUGUUCUUCCCGUAUGUGCAAUUGUACAUUUUUCUUCAGUGUGAUUUUCAGGUUCUUGUUGAAGGAGCUUAUAAAGUUGAAUUAUGGAUGCAUUUUUUUUUUUUUGAGACGGAGUUUUGCUCUUGUUACCCAGGCUGGAGUGCAAUGGCGCGAUCUCGGCUCACCGCAACCUCUGCCUCCUGGGUUCAGGCAAUUCUCCUGCCUCAGCCUCCCGAGUAGCUGGGACUACAGGCACGUGCCACCGUGCCCAGCUAAUUUUUAUAUUUUUAGUAGAGACGAGGUUUCACCAUGUUGACCAGGAUGGUCUCGAUCUCUUGACCUCGUGAUCCACCCACCUCGGCCUCCCAAAGUGCUGGGAUUAUAGGCAUGAGCCACUGCGCCCAGCCUAGGGUGUUUUAAACUGUGCUUAAAAUAAUUUGUUACAUGUUUUGUUGCUAUGUAACUUUAUUGAGGACAACUAAUCUCUGUGUUCUUAAACAUUUAACGAUAAUGAUUAAGAAGCUUUAUGAUGCUGUUUAUUAUUCUUCCUUUUCUUGUAAUAUUAUGUAUUUAAAUAAAAUAUUUAUCUUCCAACUCUA